This 425-nucleotide ribosomal RNA is filed under the name uncultured Lachnospiraceae bacterium. RNAcentral describes it as "bacterial SSU rRNA". It matches the Rfam family "Bacterial small subunit ribosomal RNA", at positions 355 to 794 of the family's 1533-position model. Lineage: Bacteria; Bacillati; Bacillota; Clostridia; Lachnospirales; Lachnospiraceae. The record is from RNAcentral.
GGGGGAAUAUUGCACAAUGGGGGAAACCCUGAUGCAGCGACGCCGCGUGAGUGAAGAAGUAUUUCGGUAUGUAAAGCUCUAUCAGCAGGGAAGAAAUCAAUGACGGUACCUGACUAAGAAGCCCCGGCUAACUACGUGCCAGCAGCCGCGGUAAUACGUAGGGGGCAAGCGUUAUCCGGAUUUACUGGGUGUAAAGGGAGCGUAGACGGCAUGGCAAGUCUGAAGUGAAAGGCCAGGGCUCAACCCUGGGACUGCUUUGGAAACUGUCAGGCUGGAGUGCAGGAGAGGUAAGUGGAAUUCCUAGUGUAGCGGUGAAAUGCGUAGAUAUUAGGAGGAACACCAGUGGCGAAGGCGGCUUACUGGACUGUAACUGACGUUGAGGCUCGAAAGCGUGGGGAGCAAACAGGAUUAGAUACCCUGGUAGU